RNAcentral lists this ribosomal RNA (405 nucleotides) under uncultured bacterium. RNAcentral describes it as "bacterial SSU rRNA". It matches the Rfam family "Bacterial small subunit ribosomal RNA", at positions 359 to 776 of the family's 1533-position model. The record is from RNAcentral.
GAAUCUUGCACAAUGGGCGGAAGCCUGAUGCAGCGACGCCGCGUGGGGGACGAAUGCCCUCGGGUUGUAAACCCCUUUCGGCAGGGAAGAAGCGCAAGUGACGGUACCUGCAGAAGAAGCUCCGGCUAACUACGUGCCAGCAGCCGCGGUAAGACGUAGGGAGCGAGCGUUGUCCGGAUUCAUUGGGCGUAAAGCGCGCGUAGGCGGUUUGGCAAGUCGGAUGUAAAAUCCCGAGGCUCAACCUCGUGACUGCAUCCGAUACUGCCCGACUAGAGGUAGGUAGGGGAGAUCGGAAUUCCUGGUGUAGCGGUGAAAUGCGCAGAUAUCAGGAGGAACACCGGUGGCGAAGGCGGAUCUCUGGGCCUGACCUGACGCUGAGGCGCGAAAGCUAGGGGAGCGAACAGG